RNAcentral lists this long non-coding RNA (5915 nucleotides) under Sus scrofa (pig). RNAcentral describes it as "lncRNA (ENSSSCG00000059994.1)". The record is from RNAcentral. Lineage: Eukaryota; Metazoa; Chordata; Mammalia; Artiodactyla; Suidae.
AGGGGAGUUUAUUUAUAUGUGAUUCCUUAAGGAAAGCUCCUUGGGUCAAGAUCCUUUCCAUCUGGUGUCCUAUGAACUAAAGAGAGACGUGAUCUGCCUCCCCUCCCCCCUCCCCCCCCCCACCCAACCCCAGGCAUACACUGUUAGGACAGGCACAGGAGAACUGCCACAGGAACUCCUAUUCCAAAAGGAAAGACAGGAGGCAUACACACUGACCCAGAGCAGUUCUGGAAUCUAUCCAGGCACAUGUUGAAAAGUCCUCGCUUAGGAUUCAGUUCAACCCCUGCCUGCAAUUCACUUACCAUGUUCUGACCUCCACACUCUGGUAUCAGGUUCUGCACUGUUAUCUUUUUUUUUUCCCCCACAAAAGGAAAUGCAUGUCUGUAGCCACUUCUUUCUUGCAGAAGUUUGGAAAUCCAAAGGCUUAUAAUUUUUUAGUCUCUGUCCCUUUGAGUCAAGAUUUCUGUGAUUCUUCAAAUACAAUUUUCUUUCAAAAUAUUUUGGUCUCCUUGAAUCUUAUUAAAAGUUACUCCAUUAAACAAAAGCCACAGUCACAAGUUGCUUUGAUUUAAUUCCUUCUCUAUCUUGGUCUUCUAUUAAAAUAGCUGAGGGACAACUUCCUUAAACUUUUUAAAGGGCCUAUUAUUUGACUGAAGGGAUUUGAGAGUCUUAUUUUUAACACCCUUAGAAAACCUUUCAUCUGGGUCUGUAGCACAGUUGGCCCUCCAUGGAUUCAAUCAACCACAGAUCAAAAAUAUUCUUAGAAAACAUUUCAGAAAGUUCCAAAAAGUAAAACUUGAAUUUUCCACAGAAGGGCAACAUUUACUUAGCAUUUACAUUGUAUUAAAUACUACAAGCAAUCUGGAGAUGAUUUAAAGUACAUGGAAGGAUGUGCAUGGGUUAUAUGCAAAUCCUACACCAUUUUACAUAAGGGAUUUAAGCAUCCUCGGAUUUUGGCAUCCAUGGGCAUCCUGAAACCAAUCCCCUGCAGCUAUCAAGGAUACAAUUAUACUCUGAAAUUCCAACUUGUUUUUUCCAAUGUCUUAGCAAUGGAUUUAACAGGCAUAUCCUCAACUUCAUCUUAACUUUUUUCUGCCAGUGACAGAAUUCCCUUUGCUAGGAAGCCAUAUCUUAAUUUUAGCAUCAUUUUCAGUCUUGAAAGGCUGUGAAUAUUCAUAACCAACCAGUCUCAAUUCCUGCAUGUUGAGUACUUUUUUCUUUAGCUUAUCCUUUCCUUCUUGCAUUUUAUUAUAAUCUCAAGAACAUCUCAGGCAGCAUCUUCAACUCUCUAGCUACAGCUCUCCCGAUCCAAAUUAUCCAGUCCCUUAGAUACAUUUUCUACUUUCUACUUUACUAGAAAGCAACAGUGUUUUUACAUUUUCUGCCAUUAUACAACAGAAGUAUAAUGAAAGAAAUUGAGAUGUAAAAUAUAGUUAGUGUCUUUUAUAUUCUAGUCUCAGAAGUAAUAUACUAGAUCUUUCCCUACAUUAUAUUAGUCACACAGACUAACCCUAGUAGAAUGUGUGAGACUAUACAAAGACAGGAAUACCAUUCAGAAGCUGGGAUCACUGGGAUCCAUCUUGGAGUCUGGCUAACAUAAUGUUUGAAGAAUCCUCAGAUAAUGUAUGUCCUGUGUUUCUUGUUCAAUGUGAUAUCGUAAGUGUUUAUUGAGUGCCUAUUUAUAAUACGAAUUUUAUAUGUAAACAUAUGUAACUACUCACCCAUUUUAUGAGUCAUAUGUAUUAGCUAGAGUUCUCCAAAGAGAAAGACCUAAAGAUAUAUACGAACAUAAAUGUGUGUGUGUAUACAUAUAUAUGUACUUUUUUUUUUAAGGAAUUUAUUCCCAUAAAUUUGGAGGCUGGCAAGUCAAAGGUCUGCAAGGUGGGCCAAGUGGUUAGAGACCAGAGAAGUGCUAAUGUUGCAGGUCAAGUCCAAAGAGUGACUGCUGCUCAAUUCCCCCUUGCAUGAGGGAGGUCAGUCUUUUGUGCUAGUCAGACCUUCAAAUGAUUACAUGAGUCCACCCACAUCAUGAAGGGCAAUCUGCUUUCCUCAAAAUGAACUGAUUUAAAAGUAAAUGUCAUUCAAAACAUGCUCACAGAAGCAUCCAGAACAGUGUUUGACUAAACAUCUGGGCUCCAUGGCCCAGCCAAGUUGACACAUAAAACCAACCAUCAUGUCAUUUAAGUAUUGCAGUGGAGCAAGGAGCUGAGAUACAACAUUUUGUCAUGAUGAGUUAGACUGUUUCUCCUACUCCAACAUUUAUAUGUAUCAUUGAUUUGCCAUUCAACUGAGGCUCGCUCUCAGUUCAGAAGUGGUACAAAAGUAAUUUUUAGUCAGCUCAUACCAGAUGGUAGAAAAGUAGUUUUAAUUCAUGUCUACUGUUGGUGUUCAGACAUUUAUUAUGAUUGUAAUAUUGGAGGAGGGGAAGUAAAAGAAACAAUAUUUCAAGAAAGUCCAGAAGCAAGCCCAAGAGAAAAUUAUCAAAAGAGAAAUAAGAACAUGUACUAUUAACUCUCUUACCUACAACACCUGGGCUUUUAAAAGAGAGUAAUGGGUUCAUACACAGUAAGGUGCAAGCCUUUUGCAUCUGACACCUGAUGGCAUGUGUAACCCCUGAAGAGGAAAAGAACUGGGCAAGUGAAUAAAAAGAACUUUUAUUUUGGUGCUGUAGAAAGCCUACUGCCAGCACAUGGAAAGAAGGGCAGAUAUACCAUUUCCUCUUCUCAAGAGACUGCCAUGCAGUGUUGGAAUUGGCAGGGGAAAGUAGAAGCUGGAAACUUUGGAAAGACUCUGAAUAGAUGAGGACAAGAAAGCAAUGGAAUCCUGCACUGUUGCCCAAAGAGCCGAGGAGAGAUUUUGGAGUCUGGAAGACCAUGGUGAAUAGAAACUUAGACUGGUUCAUGGUCAAUAUGGAGACUAUCAGCAACCCUAGUGGUGAACCAGGACAGGGACUAGAACUUCUUUGUGAACAAGUAGGAGGUCAAAGCUAGUGAGACUGCAGUAGUAAUACAGAGAUGACCCAAAUUGCACCGUGGAUUAGGGAGGGCUAAAGAAAUUUCGUUUACAAAGAGUAUGCGCAUGAUUUCCCAUUUCUCUAUUUUCUGGAGUGAGACCAUAUCCUUAUAUAGAACUCAUUAUCUUUCAAAAAAAUAGCAGUCCAUACUGAUCAAAUAUUCAUCUUUCUUAUGACCCCAUUCAAGAGAGAUGAAAACACAAUAAUACAUUUACAUAAAUAGUGGAUAUGAGAAGCAAAGUGUCUAAUUCUCUAUGUCUUUACUAAACAAAUAAUUUCAAAGAACCUCAGUUUCUUCUUCUAUAAAAUGAGGAUAUUGAGAUUAAAUGAUAGCAUAUCUGUGAAAGAUAUGGGUAGAAAGUUCUGAAAAAACACAAUGGGAAAUAAUUAUUUGAUUGACUAGCUGUCCCCAGACAAGAACUAAACAAGAUUAUGCACUAAAGUGCAUACCUUUAAGUAGAAAAGUCUGUGGCUGAGUAGAAAGAUGUGAUUUAUACAUUUAAUAAUUUCAUUAGCACUUAUUCUUAACCAGCCACUGUAUCAUCUCUGGUUUUAAGGCCUUACUUUAUAUACUUGAUUCUGCAACCCAUGUACCCACAUUUAGACAAUGGGUUCUAGUCUUAUGCAAUCCCUAGGCAGCUCUAAUGAGGCAUCUCUUCUAAGCAAAAUGGAUUUUUUAAAAGUCAAAUAGUAAUUAUUUUAGGUAUGGUAAGCCACUGUGUCCUUUGUGGCAAAGACCCAACUCUGCCAUUAUAUUAGGAAAGUAACCAAAGACAGUAUGUUAAUAAUGUUUUUUUUUUCUAAUAUACGUCAUUUAAAUUUAUCAGACAUCAGCCAGGACUUGACCCGAAAGCUCAGGUUUGCAAACCCCUGGUUUAAACAAUUACUGGAAGAAAUUUUGAUGAGUAUGUGUAUAUAGUUUAAAGAGAGCUCAUACUUCUUAAGAUAUGCUUAUUUUACAAGUGAAAAACAAUCCAAAUAUAUACAUUGAUCCUAGAUAGAAGGAUAGAUGGAUGCAUGGAUAGAUAGGUAGGUAGGUAGAUAGAUAGAUAGAUAGAUAGAUAGAUAGAUAGAUAGAUAGAUAGAUAGAUAGAUAGAUAGAAUAAAACUAACCCUGUAUUUCACUUCCCACAGUUAAGAUUUACUAUUAUUAUUUUACAUUUUAUGCUUCCAGGCUUAAAAAAAAAGGAGCACACAUUACAGAUAAAGUUUAUUCGAUUAUUACCCAAAGCCAUAUUCUCUUUACACUCUCUCUUAAGAAAAUCAUUGCGAUGAUUUUGAUGGCUAUAUGUUUUGGAUUUUUAAAAUAUUUAAAAUGCAUAUUUAUAUGAAUAUAAACCUAUCCAGAAUAUAUUCAUAAGAAAUACAUAGAUUUGACUUAUAUAUGUGGUCAUGGCCACCUCCUUUUUUUUUAAAUCUAUGCAAAUGUAUACCCCUACCAGUAGUAUAUAAAUGUUUAUUUUAUGAUAUCCUAGCAAACACUUGAUAUCAUCUUGUUUUUUCACCAUUGCCAAUUUAAAAAGGAGGAAAUAAAAUUCUUUUUUUUAUUGUCUUUUUAGAGCCGCACCCACAGCAUAUGGACAUUCGGAGGCUAGGGGUUAAAUUGGAGCUGUAGCUGUCAGCUCACAGCUACACCAAAUCCUUAACCCACUGAGCAAUGCCAGAGAUACCUGCGUCCUCAUGGAUACCAGUCAGAUUUGUUUCUGCUGAGCCACAAUGGGAAUUCAUAAAAUUCAAUUUUUAAUCUUUGUCAAUUUGAUGGAGUCAAUCCAAUCACAUUUCAUUCUUUUAAUAUAUAUUUUUAUUACAAAUUAAUUUGUCUAGAUACUCAUGUUGCAACAGAAGAAAGGGUGGGGGAAAAACUGUAAUUGCAAUGUAUACAUGUAAGGAUAACCUGACCCCCUUGCUGUACAGUGGGAAAAUAAAAAAAAUAAAAAAAUAAAAAUAAAUUAAAAAAAAUAAUGAUCAUAUGUUUAUUUGCUGUGGAAGGUCAAAUAAUGCCCCCUUAAUAUCCACUCCUCAACCGCCAAACCUAUGAAUAUGUUAGCUUAAAUGGAAAAAGGACUUUGCAGAGUAAGGCUAAAGACUUUGAGAUCCAGAGCUCAUCCUGGAGUAUUUGGGUUCUUCCAGCCCAAUCACAUGAACUCUCAGAAGUAUAAAAAUGAAAGAAGAGUCAAAGAAAUUCAGUGUGAGGAGGACUCCAACUACCCUUGGUGGCUUUACAAAUGAAGGAAGGGAUUCAAGAGUCAAGGAAUGAGGCACCCUCUAAUUCUAGGAAUGACUCUCAGUCUACAGCUUGCAAGAAAACAAGGACCUCAAUACUGCAACCUCAAGGAACUGAAUUCUGCCAACCACCUAAAUGUGUAGGAAACAUUCUCCCAAAGUCUAGAAAGGAAAAAGCCUGCUCACUACUUGAUUUUAGUGUAUUAAGAACUAUGUCAGACUUGUGACCUCAAAAACUAUAAGAUAAUAAAUUUGUGUUUAUUUAAGACAUUGAGUUUGUAGUAUUUGUUAUGUAAACUAUAGAAUUAGAUGUUAGUAUUUAUUCUUUUGUGACUUGUCUGUUAUCAUUUGUCCAUUUUUCUAUCAGGUUGUUGGGUUUGCGUCUUAAGUAGUACUUCUUUGUACACUUUGUUUAAUCAUCCCUUGUUAUAGUUUCUAUUAUAUAAGUUGCAAAAAUCUUCUCUAGGUCUGUCCCUUGUCUUUUAACUAUGUGUUGCCUUGAUAUACAGAUGACUUUAACUUAAUGUAUUAAAAUUUACCAAAAUACGGGCAUUAAGAUUAUGCUUUGUUGUCUUAAGAAAAUACUCUUUCUGCUAUAUUGUUAAAAGAUAACUAGACUCUGUGCUAAUUUGAUCAGUAAGAGAUUUCUAGUUUGAGUGAUGAUAAUGUAAAUUGAUGC